GUAGGUGGCAAGCGUUGUCCGGAUUUACUGGGCGUAAAGCGCGCGCAGGCGGCUUGCCAAGUCUGGGGUGAAAUCUCCCGGCUCAACCGGGAUAGGUCUCCAGAUACUGGCAGGCUUGAGGGGAGCAGAGGAGAGUGGAAUUCUCGGUGUAGCGGUGAUAUGCGUAGAUAUCGAGAGGAACACCAGUGGCGAAGGCGGCUCUCUGGGCUCCAUCUGACGCUGAGGCGCGAAAGCGUGGGGAGCGAACCGGAUUAGAUACCCGGGUAGUCCACGCCCGUAAACGUUGGGCACUAGGUGUGGGGGGUAUUGACCCCCCCCCCUCCGUGCCGUAGCUAACGCAUUAAGUGCCCCCGCCUGGGGAGUACGGCCGCAAGGCUA
This 378-nucleotide ribosomal RNA is filed under the name uncultured organism. Its description in RNAcentral is "partial 16S ribosomal RNA". It matches the Rfam family "Bacterial small subunit ribosomal RNA", at positions 527 to 896 of the family's 1533-position model. The record is from RNAcentral.